GGAUUCCCUCUCCUCCCCUCACAGUUUUUUUCUCUUCUUUCUCCCACUACUUUUUUUUCGUCUUUCUCUCUACAAAAAAUUGGGAAGUAAAGAGAAGGGAAAAAAAAUAUGAGGGAAGAUAAUUCUUGUCUGAAAUAUACAUGUAAAGGUCUUACGAGGACCCUCUGGAUGUUUGGUACAUGUCUUUUUUGUGCACACCAAGUGUUUGACAAAAUGUUUCUCGCAAGCUGCAUUAACACUCGACAAAUUCUCUCAAUAGCACUCGUCAGAUUGCCUCGGCAUAUGUCAAUAUCUUCUUAAAUGUGUGCAACUUGGUUCGGUUGAUGACACAAACCCACCAAUUGCUCGCCUAAAUGCCUCCAUGAAUAAACUAUCUUUUUGCGCACUUCGCACUAUAUUUUCUAGAUCUGCCACUGUCUCCGUCGUGAUAGUGUACCAUUCAUAUUCAUUGCAUUUACCUCCUAAAUUGACACAAAGACAAAUCCAUCAUGUACAAUGAAUGAGGGUUUUAGAUGAUUAGUUGUGAUUAAUUAGGAUAAGUAAAGAACCUAUAACAUAUAAGAAUGUACAUGGUAUGUGAAUGAAUGUAAACUGUGGGGUGACUAGAUUCUGACCGAAGUAAAACAAGGACCACGCGUCAUGUUUGUGUCUGAAUGCGUUUUCCCCAAACAAGGACCACGCUUUAUUUGUUGAGUUUUACCAAACUGUUAACAAUGCAUUAAUUUUCUAUACAUGAAUAUGUUUACACUAAGAAGUGAGAGAAUAAAAUAUUACAGGGUGAUCUAGUAGUUAUGGACGAAUUUCAAGCUCGUAUUUUGCACAACACAUUUUGGGUUUGAUUCUUAACGUCGGUGAAUCCCACAAUGAUGGCUAGGAGGAGGCUCAUAUGUCUAUGUGAGUCUUCUUGGCCCUCAGAAAUGUAGACUUUCAGGGUGAGCCACCAACUAUUCUCCUUUUUAAAGAAAUAAAUCAAUUGGUAUUAAACUCGCAAUUCAAAAAAUUCGAACUAAAGACUUCAAAAUUGCAAGCGAAAAAAAAUAUUACUAAACUAUAAUAUUAAAUGGCAACAACGCAUUAAUCUUCUUAGGCUUAUUAUUGGAUAUAUAGUAAAGUCCCCAAUGGACCAAAAGCUUAACUAAUAGCACUUUAUAAUCUAGGUCUAGUUAAAACAUUAUUGUGAGAUUUGUGCUAGCAUCAGUUACGCAUAGACGUCACGUGAUCAAUUGUUAUUGAACCACAUGUUCAUGCUUGACUAACACUAGCAUCUUUUUUGUUCCACAAGAACAUGAGAAUCUAUGUAAAUUAUUUACGUGUUUAAUUUACCAUUACACUUAAAGCUUUAGUUGAUACAAGGUAAAGCAACAAUUUGAUGAACUAGAAAAUUAAGUCUGUUGUAAAAAUUGUGGAAAUGUAUGCCCAUAUGUUUUAGCUAAUAGUGAGGAAGACUUGAAAAUAGUUGUGUUGUUGUUCAUAUGUGAGGUUUUUCAAAAGACAAUCAUUUCAUUUUUUGUAAACCUUCACGGAUGGGACUCUAUAUAAAGACUACUCCGUGUGUGAUCACAAUACACAACAAUGAAAAGAAGUGAAAGCAAUAAUAUCAGUACCUCUCCUUUCCUCUUUUUAUCUGCAAUCUUUUUGUGUUAUAGUUACAAAACUAAACAGUGUGAUAUUUUACACCUGCUUCGCUCAUGUCCUUAACAAAGAUUUCUUACUUUUGCCUAUUUAUAACGAAGUGGCUAACAACUAUCAUUCACGAGAAUCGUCCAUAACGAUCAAGGUUGAACAAUCAUCGAUUCUUUUGGCCAUGUGCAUUUACGAAUAUAAUUGUACUUGUCAACAGCUUAUUUAAAAAUCAUCCUAUUUGUGGCUUCUUGGUUAAUAUUUGUAGCUGUAUGCAUAUAUAAUUAUACAUUAAUCUCGGACAUUGCUAUAGAGUGUUAUUGUUCACAUGUGACAUGUCACACUCGUCGAAUACAAUUUUUUGUUUCGGCAAGUGGUUGUCGAAUAUAAUAAUAUAGGCCUCGGGGGAGAAGGUUGACAUAGUGUCUACUACGUCCCAAAACAGUUAUAUAGAUGACUAGACGAAAGCAUGUGUUAGUUAACCCAAAUUGGGAUAAGGAAAAUUUUAUUUAAAUCCAUGUAAUCUAUUUCUACACUUAAUUUAAAUUUAAAUUGUUAAUUGUCUAUUUUACCCUAUUGCAUAAUUAUUAUUAAGUAUAAAAUGAAAUUAAUAAUAAAAUUCAAAUUUAUCAAUAAACCCAUUAAACCAUAUCAUCACUUCUUGUUUAUCCUACAUUCAUUCUAGCUAAAACCCUAAGGGGCGUUUGUUGUACCGAACUGGACUAGCUUCAGGGACAAAACUGGACUGGCUUAGACUAGACUAAACUGGACUAACUUAGUGAAGUGUUUGGUGUAGUGUCGGACUAAAAAGCAGACUAAUUAAUAAAUUAUAAUAUUAUAUUUAUAUCUAUCAAUAUUUUAUGUAUCUAUUAAUAUUUUAUCUAUUUUAUUUUUAAUUUAUUUUUUUCCUUUUGGAUUCUCUUCCUUUUUUCUGGAAACAUUCACCAUUUUUCCACCAUUCUCCCUCGUUUUCUCUGGCACACUGUCUCCCUCUCAUCCCUCUUUUCUUCCCCCUUUUUCUCCUUGUUUUCUUCUUCAACGGAGGAAGCUAUGCAUUUUACACCUAAUUUGGAUCAAAGACCAACAAGUCUUUCUUCUUGUUCCUCUAACCAAAGAUAGCUCUCUUUUUCACAAAAAUCCCAAAUCAAGGUAAUAGAUUUCUGGGUUUCUGGAGAAGAGCAUUGUGGAUUUCUGGCGGUCUUUCGUUUUUUGCCUAUAGAUUUUUGAAGAAGUGCACAGCAACCCAAGGUAAUAGAUUUCUAGGUUUAUUGUAGAUUUUGAUAUUCUAUAUUUGAGAUUUAUAAUGUUUAAUCUUCGAACUGAAGUGUUGUGUAUGGGGUGGAUUAAGCUUAUUGGAAGCUUAACUAAAUGAAUUCAUCUUUGAAGCAAAGAGGGGGUUGGAUUUGCGGGAUGAAAUGGGCAGAGCUGUUUCAGAUUUGGUGACUAGAGAAGAGGGCGGAAGGCAUGAUUUGGUAACUGGGUUCGUGGGAAGAAGGAGAUCCGGGAUGCAUGCUUGCAGACGACGUGGGUGCUAGAGACGGGAUUAGCAAUCCGCCAGUUUUCUAAGGGACCAUCUAAGAACAGCUAGUGAAGCUUUUAGUCGGUGCGAGUCCGACUUAGUCUCAUUAAAGGCAGUCUUUGUUUGCACCAAACACGGGCUAGGACUCCUACCUAAGGCAGUCCAGUCUAGUGAGACUUAAAGAGGCCAAACAAACGUGCCCUAAUAGGUCUCGUAGAGAAAAACAAACUUUUUUUUUUAUGGAUGGUGAUUUUGAAGUUUUGAAUCCUCAAACUAAGGUAUGACUCAAUUUAUGAAUAUUUUGUUUGUUUGAUUCAAUUUUUUAAAAGUUUAGAAGAUGAGGAUUUGGGUUUUAAUUUUUUUCAUCAAUCCCGAAUGGUUUGUUAAACUUCCUGCAAUUGGAAAAUUCUAAGGAAAAACUUCUUACCAAUAUUAUUAGAUUAUAAACUUCCUUACUUGUUGAUAAAUAUAAGGGGAUGAAUUGUUUGCUUAUGCACAUCAGUAGAAAUAAAAAAGGUAAAUGUUUGGGUUUGAUAGCAGAAAAAAAAAAAAAAAAAAAAGUUGCCAUGGAAAUGCUAUUAGGAAGAGGGGUGGGGCAAUGACGCCUCUUUUUUUUUUUUUUUUUUUUUUUUUUUUAAAUUCAAUUACAGAUGUUAUUUUAUAAAGGGAAUGGGUGUAAAGAUAACUUAACAUUUUGAAUUGGGUUUGAGAUGGUAGUUUUGGUAAUAAAUUUGGGUUUAAAUAGAGAUUAAUUCUUUAAUAAAAAACAAUAUGGGUGAAGAGAGUAAGUUGGGUGUAGAAAGAGGUUACAUGGGUUCAAAUAAAAUUUCCGUUAGGAUAAUUUAUUAGCCAUUUACAAGUGAACAUAUCAUAAUGUCUAUAUGUCUCAUAAGAAAAUAACAGAGUAUCCAACUUGCUAAAAAAAUAAGAAGAAUAUAAUACUUUUCAUUUACAAGUGAAGAAUAAUACUACUUACAAGGAAUUAAUGGAAAUUCUCCCCUUUUGGUUUCACUUAAGCGGUUGAUGCAAUCCAAGAUCAAGAGGAAGCUAAAGGACUCGCCAACGCUCGUGAAAACCUGGGUUUGGGAAGCUCGAUCAACCCUUGCUCUAAUAAAGAUGAGAUCUUAUGUGUUUUCAUGCCCCUUCGAUAAAUGGACAACUUCCUUGGAGAACUGGCCAUUCAAGAAGGAGAUUUUGGAAUUGCAAAACAAGAAACUCACGCCCAGUAGAGCUAUAUGCGUUCAGAGUUGUGGCUAGCAGUCAGACUCUAUUAUGGAUUCUGGACCACAUUCUCCAUAGAGCCCUCUUAUCUCUUCCUUGUGGAUAAUUGUAAUGUAUAAAUUCAUUGUAUUUGUUAAUAAAAUAAGAUAAAAUAAAAUAAAAACUUUAGGUAACAAAAAUUUUCCCACAUAGAUUGAUCCUUUUGCUACACAACGAUAAAUUAUAUUAAAGGGUGGGUAAUGGAAGAAGUCACACAAUGGACUCAUCAUAAUAAUGUGUGUUGAACUCGCCCUCUAUUGGGAAGUAAAGAGAAGGGGAAAAAAAUAUGAGGGAAGAGAAUUCUUGUCUGAAAUAUACAUGAAAGGUCUUACGAGGACCCUCUGGAUGUUUGGUAAAUGUCCUUUUUGUGCACACCAAGUGUUUGACAAAAUGUCUAUCGCAAGCUGCGUCAACACUCGAUAAAUUCUCUCAAUAGCACUCGUCAGAUUGCUUCGGCAUAUGUCAAUAUCUUCUUAAAUGUGUGCAACUUGGUUCGACUGAUGACAACAAGCCCAUCAAUUGCUCGCCUAAAUGCCUCCAUGAAUAAACUAUCUUUUUGUGCACUUCGCACUAUGUUUUCUACAUC
RNAcentral lists this long non-coding RNA (4985 nucleotides) under Malus domestica (apple). Its description in RNAcentral is "long non-coding RNA (MDOM_LNC003430)". Lineage: Eukaryota; Viridiplantae; Streptophyta; Magnoliopsida; Rosales; Rosaceae. The record is from RNAcentral.